AUGGCCGUACCUACGACGUCGAUGAGACCCAAAGCCAGGAUGGCCGUGCCUAGUACGUCCCCGAUGAAGAGGCCGACGAACGUGCUGACUACGACCACAGUGACUCGUGGCAUGAAGACGACGACAUCUAUGUCGAAGGUGAUGAUGAUGAAGAAGAAAGCAAUGAUGUUGAUAUUAGUGGUGCGCCAUUGUUCAUCGACGAGCUCACCCAAAGAGCGGAGGCACAAAAGAAGAGGAAGAGCAUUCGCAUUCCAAUCUUUGGAGGCAUUCAAGAAACUUACUCCUACCACAAGACACUAG
RNAcentral lists this ribosomal RNA (300 nucleotides) under Triticum aestivum (bread wheat). RNAcentral describes it as "partial small subunit ribosomal RNA". The record is from RNAcentral. Lineage: Eukaryota; Viridiplantae; Streptophyta; Magnoliopsida; Poales; Poaceae.